ACGGAAGGCAGCAGUGGGGAAUAUUGCACAAUGGGGGAAACCCUGAUGCAGCGACGCCGCGUGAGUGAUGAAGUAUUUCGGUAUGUAAAGCUCUAUCAGCAGGGAAGAUAAUGACGGUACCUGACUAAGAAGCACCGGCUAAAUACGUGCCUGCAGCCGCGGUAAUACGUAUGGUGCAAGCGUUAUCCGGAUUUAUUGGGUGUAAAGGGUGCGUAGACGGGAAAAUAAGUUAGUUGUGAAAUCCCUCGGCUUAACUGAGGAACUGCAACUAAAACUGUUUUUCUUGAGUACUGGAGAGGAAAGUGGAAUUCCUAGUGUAGCGGUGAAAUGCGUAGAUAUUAGGAGGAACACCAGUGGCGAAGGCGACUUUCUGGACAGAAACUGACGUUGAGGCACGAAAGUGUGGGGAGCAAACAGGAUUAGAUACCCUGGUA
Molecule: ribosomal RNA, 434 nt
Filed under: uncultured Coprococcus sp.
Lineage: Bacteria; Bacillati; Bacillota; Clostridia; Lachnospirales; Lachnospiraceae
Description: partial 16S ribosomal RNA
Rfam family: Bacterial small subunit ribosomal RNA
Source: RNAcentral